UUUCAAGUCCAUUUGUUUAGAAAGGCCCACAGGAAUGGUCUGAGGAAGCCUUCUACCAUGAGGCACAUGUCUAAGAAGGUUGUUGCGAGGUUCCUGUCCCAAGAAAUGAUGCCAAUCUGAAGAAUUUUUCGGCAAUUAGCCGACAUUGGACCGGUGGAAUGGCUAAAUUUGGUCUUGUGCCCGACGUUAGACUUCCAACCCUUCAUUCAUUCCACCUUUCCCUCCAUUUUUCUCUUCCUUCAUAUCCUUUCUUUUCUUCGUCAUUUCCAUCUUCGUCCUUGCCAUCUUCGUCCUUGCCAUCUUCGUCCUUGCCAUCUUCGUCCUUGCCAUCUUCGUCCUUGCCAUCUUCAAGCCUUUCUAGCUACUCCUUACCAUCUUCAUCCUUUCCAUCUUUCCAUUCUUUCCUUUCUUCCCAUACUUUCCUUCCUUCACAUUCUUCCCUUUCUUCCCAUCCUUCCUUCCCUGCAACCUGAUCAGAACAGGAUCAGUUCCGUCCGAGAGUUCGUUAGAUCUCAGGGAUUCCGAGAUACCUUCACUGCAGGCUCUCGUCCGUUAUUCGGAGCGACAAAAGAAAAACCCAUCAAAUGGGUUCAUAACGGCAUCUUCGUCCUUUCCAUCUUCAGCCUUUCCAUCUUGUCCGUAUCUUAAUCCUUUCCAUCUUUCCAUUCUUCCCUUUCUUCCCAUCCUUCCUUCCCUGCAACCUGAUCAGAACAGGAUCUGUUCCGCCCGAGAGUUGGUUAGAUCUCAGGGAUUCCAGAGAUACCUUCACUGCAAGGAUAAGAUCGAGGACAAGCCUAAGGAAAUAUGGAACGUAGUUCCACCAGCAAUGGGAAAAGCUAUUGGGGAUGAAUUUGUGAAGUGCCUUCAAAAGGAACUAAUAUUGUAAUCUAAUAUUUCAGA
Eurytemora carolleeae is the source of this 900-nucleotide long non-coding RNA. RefSeq lists it as uncharacterized. The transcript has 2 exons. The record is from RefSeq and is a predicted model, not a curated record. Lineage: Eukaryota; Metazoa; Arthropoda; Copepoda; Calanoida; Temoridae.